AAGGUGCUGCAUGGCUGUCGUCAGCUCGUGCCGUGAGGGGUUGGGUUAAGUCCUAUAACGAGCGAAACCCUUUUACUUAAUUGCCAGCACGUAAUGGUGGGGACUUUAAGUAGACUGCCCGUGUAAGCGGGAGGAAGGAGAGGACGAGGUCAAGUCAUCAUGGCCUUUAUGCCCAGGGCUACACACGUACUACAAUGGCAUGUACAAAGGGAAGCUACUUGGUAACAGGAUGCAAAUCUCAAAAGCAUGUCUCAGUUCGGAUUGAGGUCUGCAAUUCGACCUCAUGAAGUUGGAAUCGCUAGUAAUCGCGUAUCAGCAAUGACGCGGUGAAUACGUUCUCGGACCUUGUACACACCGCCCAUCAAGCCAUGGGAGUUGG
Molecule: ribosomal RNA, 379 nt
Filed under: uncultured bacterium
Lineage: Bacteria
Description: bacterial SSU rRNA
Rfam family: Bacterial small subunit ribosomal RNA
Source: RNAcentral